RNAcentral lists this ribosomal RNA (119 nucleotides) under Lupinus angustifolius (narrow-leaved blue lupine). The record is from RNAcentral. Lineage: Eukaryota; Viridiplantae; Streptophyta; Magnoliopsida; Fabales; Fabaceae.
AGGUGCGAUCAUACCAGCACUAAUGGACCGGAUCCAAUCAGAAAUCUGCAGUUAAGCGUGCUUAGGCGAGCGUAGUACUAGGAUGGGUGACCUCCUCGGAAGUCCUCGUGUUGCACCUC